CCGGCUAAGGUCCCGAAGUGCGUGUUCAGUGGGAAAGGAUGUGGAGUUGCCCAGACAACCAGGAUGUUGGCUUAGAAGCAGCCAUCAUUCAAAGAGUGCGUAAUAGCUCACUGGUCAAGUGACUCUGCGCCGAAAAUGUAACGGGGCUAAACGGACCACCGAAGCCGCGGAUGCCGAAGGCAUGGUAGGGGAGCGUUCCCGGGGCGUCGAAGUCGCACCGUGAGGUGCGGUGGAGCGCCGGGAAGUGAGAAUGCCGGUGUGAGUAACGAAAAGAGGGGUGAGAAUCCCCUCCGCCGAAAGCCUAAGGGUUCCUGAGGAAGGUUCGUCCGCUCAGGGUAAGUCGGGACCUAAGCCGAGGCUGAAGAGCGUAGGCGAUGGAGAACAGGUGGAGAUUCCUGUACCACCGCGUUCCGAUUGAGCGAAGGGGGGACGCAGGAGGGCAGGGGAGCAGGCGGAUGGAUGUGCCUGUCCAAGCGGUGAGAGAGCAGCGCGAGGCAAAUCCCGCGUUGCGAGGAUCUUGAGCCGUGAUGGGGAGUGAAACUUAGAGUAGCGAAGUCCCUGCACCCACACUGACAAGAAAAGCCUCUAGCGAGGAGCGCGGUGCCCGUACCGCAAACCGACACAGGUAGGCGAGGAGAGGAUCCUAAGGCGCACGGGAGAACUCUCGUUAAGGAACUCGGCAAAAUGGCCCCGUAACUUUGGGAGAAGGGGUGCCCCGUUAGGGUGGCCGAGAGGUUGCCUGAGGGGGCCGCAGUGAAGAGGCCCAAGCGACUGUUUAGCAAAAACACAGGUCUCUGCGAAGCCGCAAGGCGAAGUAUAGGGGCUGACGCCUGCCCGGUGCUGGAAGGUUAAGGGGAAGGGUUAGCGCAAGCGAAGCUCUGAACCGAAGCCCCAGUAAACGGCGGCCGUAACUAUAACGGUCCUAAGGUAGCGAAAUUCCUUGUCGGGUAAGUUCCGACCCGCACGAAAGGCGUAACGACUUGGGCACUGUCUCAACGAGAGGCCCGGUGAAAUUGUAGUAUGCGUGAAGAUGCGCAUUACCCGCGACAGGACGGAAAGACCCCGUGGAGCUUUACUGUAGCCUGAUAUUGGAUCUUGGUACGGUUUGUACAGGAUAGGUGGGAGCCGUGGAAUUCGGGCCGCCAGGUUCGAAGGAGGCAUCCUUGGGAUACCACCCUGAUCGUACCGAGGUUCUAACCGACACCCGUGAUCCGGGUGCGGGACCGUGUCAGGUAGGCAGUUUGACUGGGGCGGUCGCCUCCUAAAGCGUAACGGAGGCGCCCAAAGGUUCCCUCAGAAUGGUUGGAAAUCGCGCUAGAGUGUAAAGGCAGAAGGGAGCUUGACUGCGAGACCUACAAGUCGAGCAGGGACGAAAGUCGGGCUUAGUGAUCCGGUGGUACCGCAUGGAAGGGCCAUCGCUCAACGGAUAAAAGCUACCCCGGGGAUAACAGGCUUAUCUCCCCCAAGAGUUCACAUCGACGGGGAGGUUUGGCACCUCGAUGUCGGCUCAUCGCAUCCUGGGGCUGUAGUCGGUCCCAAGGGUUGGGCUGUUCGCCCAUUAAAGCGGUACGCGAGCUGGGUUCAGAACGUCGUGAGACAGUUCGGUCCCUAUCCGUCGUGGGCGUAGGAAAUUUGAGAGGAGCUGUCCUUAGUACGAGAGGACCGGGAUGGACACACCGCUGGUGUACCAGUUGUUCCGCCAGGGGCAUAGCUGGGUAGCUACGUGUGGUCGGGAUAAGUGCUGAAAGCAUCUAAGCAUGAAGCCCCCCUCAAGAUGAGAUUUCCCAUAGCUUUAAGCUAUUGAAGAUCCCUGAAAGAUGAUCAGGUUGAUAGGUCUGAGGUGGAAGUGUGGUGACACGUGGAGCUGACAGAUACUAAUCGAUCGAAAACGACUUAAUCUA
This 1901-nucleotide ribosomal RNA is filed under the name Klebsiella pneumoniae. RNAcentral's name for it is "partial 23S ribosomal RNA". It matches the Rfam family "Bacterial large subunit ribosomal RNA", at positions 1035 to 2925 of the family's 2925-position model. Lineage: Bacteria; Pseudomonadati; Pseudomonadota; Gammaproteobacteria; Enterobacterales; Enterobacteriaceae. The record is from RNAcentral.